GAGCAACACCGCGUGAGUGAAGAAGGGUUUCGGCUCGUAAAGCUCUGUUGUUAAAGAAGAACACGUGAUGAGAGUAACUGUUCAUACGUUGACGGUAUUUAACCAGAAAGUCACGGCUAACUACGUGCCAGCAGCCGCGGUAAUACGUAGGUGGCAAGCGUUAUCCGGAUUUAUUGGGCGUAAAGAGAGUGCAGGCGGUUUUCUAAGUCUGAUGUGAAAGCCUUCGGCUUAACCGGAGAAGUGCAUCGGAAACUGGAUAACUUGAGUGCAGAAGAGGGUAGUGGAACUCCAUGUGUAGCGGUGGAAUGCGUAGAUAUAUGGAAGAACACCAGUGGCGAAGGCGGCUACCUGGUCUGCAACUGACGCUGAGACUCGAAAGCAUGGGUAGCGAACAGGAUUAGAUACCCUGGUAGUCCAUGCCGUAAACGAUGAGUGCUAGGUGUUGGAGGGUUUCCGCCCCUCAGUGCCGGAGCUAACGCAUUAAGCACUCCGCCUGGGGAGUACGACCGCAAGGUUGAAACUCAAAGGAAUUGACGGGGGCCCGCACAAGCGGUGGAGCAUGUGGUUUAAUUCGAAGCUACGCGAAGAACCUUACCAGGUCUUGACAUCUUGCGC
This 615-nucleotide ribosomal RNA is filed under the name Limosilactobacillus fermentum. RNAcentral describes it as "bacterial SSU rRNA". It matches the Rfam family "Bacterial small subunit ribosomal RNA", at positions 389 to 994 of the family's 1533-position model. The record is from RNAcentral. Lineage: Bacteria; Bacillati; Bacillota; Bacilli; Lactobacillales; Lactobacillaceae.